CGUGAGGGAUGACGGCCUCUCGGGUUGUAAACCUCUUUUAGUAGGGAAGAAGCGAAAGUGACGGUACCUGCAGAAAAAGCACCGGCUAACUACGUGCCAGCAGCCGCGGUAAUACGUAGGGUGCAAGCGUUGUCCGGAAUUAUUGGGCGUAAAGAGCUCGUAGGCGGUUUGUCGCGUCUGCUGUGAAAUCCCGAGGCUCAACCUCGGGCUUGCAGUGGGUACGGGCAGACUAGAGUGCGGUAGGGGAGAUUGGAAUUCCUGGUGUAGCGGUGAAAUGCGCAGAUAUCAGGAGGAACACCGGUGGCGAAGGCGGAUCUCUGGGCCGAAACUGACGCUGAGGAGCGAAAGCAUGGGGAGCGAACAGGAUUAGAUACCCUGGUAGUCCAUGCUGUAAACGUUGGGCGCUAGAUGUGGGGACCUUUCCACGGUUUCUGUGUCGCAGCUAACGCAUUAAGCGCCCCGCCUGGGGAGUACGGCCGCAAGGCUAAAACUCAAAGGAAUUGACGGGGGCCCGCACAAGCGGCGGAGCAUGCGGAUUAAUUCGAUGCAACGCGAAGAACCUUACCUGGGCUUUGACAUACACCGCGAAACUGGCAGAGAUG
RNAcentral lists this ribosomal RNA (602 nucleotides) under Microbacteriaceae bacterium Ri2Pt_4120. RNAcentral's name for it is "bacterial SSU rRNA". It matches the Rfam family "Bacterial small subunit ribosomal RNA", at positions 400 to 1008 of the family's 1533-position model. Lineage: Bacteria; Bacillati; Actinomycetota; Actinomycetes; Micrococcales; Microbacteriaceae. The record is from RNAcentral.